Molecule: ribosomal RNA, 545 nt
Filed under: Fusarium solani
Lineage: Eukaryota; Fungi; Ascomycota; Sordariomycetes; Hypocreales; Nectriaceae
Description: eukaryotic LSU rRNA
Rfam family: Eukaryotic large subunit ribosomal RNA
Source: RNAcentral
AUGUUGACCUCGAAUCAGGUAGGAAUACCCGCUGAACUUAAGCAUAUCAAUAAGCGGAGGAAAAGAAACCAACAGGGAUUGCCCCAGUAACGGCGAGUGAAGCGGCAACAGCUCAAAUUUGAAAUCUGGCUCUCGGGCCCGAGUUGUAAUUUGUAGAGGAUGCUUUUGGUGAGGUGCCUUCCGAGUUCCCUGGAACGGGACGCCAUAGAGGGUGAGAGCCCCGUCUGGUUGGACACCGAUCCUCUGUAAAGCUCCUUCGACGAGUCGAGUAGUUUGGGAAUGCUGCUCUAAAUGGGAGGUAUAUGUCUUCUAAAGCUAAAUACCGGCCAGAGACCGAUAGCGCACAAGUAGAGUGAUCGAAAGAUGAAAAGAACUUUGAAAAGAGAGUUAAAAAGUACGUGAAAUUGUUGAAAGGGAAGCGCUUGUGACCAGACUUGGGCUUGGUUGAUCAUCCGGGGUUCUCCCCGGUGCACUCUUCCGGCUCAGGCCAGCAUCAGUUCGCCCUGGGGGAUAAAGGCUUCGGGAAUGUGGCUCUCUCCGGGGAG